Molecule: long non-coding RNA, 1253 nt
Filed under: Bos indicus x Bos taurus (hybrid cattle)
Lineage: Eukaryota; Metazoa; Chordata; Mammalia; Artiodactyla; Bovidae
Description: lncRNA (ENSBIXG00000006990.1)
Rfam family: tRNA (bases 1136-1208)
Source: RNAcentral
CUCCAGGCAAGAAUACUAGAGUGAGUAGUCAUUCCCUUCUCCAGGGGAUCUUCGUGACCCAGGGACUGAACACCCAGCAUCUGUGUUUCUUGCAUUGCAGAUAGAUUCUUUACCAUCUGAGUCACCAGGGAAGCCCUCUUAAUGUACGAAAAGGACUGUAAGAGGCUGCAUUUUGCCAGCUCCAUAAAUGGCAUUAGCCCUGGAGCAAAGUGGAACAUGCCGGAUCCAUGUAGUUUUGAUGCGACCCUGAUGGUGGAAGCCCGCCAUUUCCAGCAUUUCAAAAGGCUGGUGGGGUCCCUCAAUUGCUAUGAUUGACUAAUGGUAUGGAACUGGUAUUGACAAUAGGGCAACAGGAAGAAAAAUCUCCCCAUACGCUGGCUGUGGAAGACGGGCACUGCCAAGGCCCCACAGUACUGCCUCUGCCCCCUGAGGGAACAGAGACAGGAGCGGAAGAACUGGGGACUGGCUCAGCUGUUUCAGAGUAAAGGAGAGAGAUCCAGACAGCCACAUCCCAGUUCAAAGUCAGUCGCUCCAUGACCGAGGCGUAGUCUAAGGAACCUGCCCGAGAUCUCAAGACAGCUUCCCCAGCUCUGCACUACAUGGGGCUAAGAGCUCAGUCCACCUGCUCUGCAUCAACCUCAACUCUCAUCGUCCUUCUCAGAGCAAGUCUGUGAUGAAAUACGAGUCUAACGAGUAGUCAACUUUUAAUAUCAGAAAGCACUCCCGUCUCUUUAAAUGCUUACAAAUCAUGUGAUGUAACUGUUUACUUAACACACGUCAGGUUUAUCCUCAGGACAAAGCAAUGACCUACCUUGAAUGACACGGUUUCAACUGUUUCCUAGGCCUGAGUACCAUUUGCAAAAUGCUUUAAGGACUUCCUUAUAAAUAGAGGCUGGAAAGCCAAGAUAAGCUUGUGUUUAUAGUAUCCAAAAUCUCAGCAAAUAUUCUAGCUUGUGAAUGAUGAAUCAGCAAGAUUUCAUUAUCUUCCUCUAAGAAAAUGAGAGGUAUUGGGUCCUACACAAACCCUACACAAGUCCUGGGAACUCUGACACUAAAAAGUCUCCCAGUAUUUAAAGGGUUGUAUGUAGAGAAAGGUCCAGACUGUGAGGAAGCACACAUUUAAAGGAAAGGGACUUCCCUGGUGGUCCAGUGGUUAAGACUCUGUGUUCCCAAUGCUGGGGGCCUGGGUUCGAUUCUUGAUCAGGGAAGACCCAGCACAGCCAAAUAAAUACAAGAAAAAAUAGAAAAUACCA